Molecule: ribosomal RNA, 465 nt
Filed under: uncultured bacterium
Lineage: Bacteria
Description: partial 16S ribosomal RNA
Rfam family: Bacterial small subunit ribosomal RNA
Source: RNAcentral
UCUACGGUGGGCUGCAGUGGGGAAUAUUGCGCAAUGGGCGAAAGCCUGACGCAGCGACGCAGCGUGAGGGAUGAAGGUCUUCGGAUCGUAAACCUCUGUCAGCAGGGAAGAACGGUCACUGUGCUAAUCAGCAGUGAAUUGACGGUACCUGCAAAGGAAGCACAGGCUAACUCCGUGCCAGCAGCCGCGGUAAUACGGGGGGUGCGAGCGUUAAUUGGAAUUACUGGGCGGAAAGCGCUCGUAGGCGGUAUGUCAAGUCAAGGGUGAAUUCACCGCGCUCAACGUGGGAACUGCAGUUGAAACUGGCAAACUGGAGUGUGUGAGAGGAGAGUGGAAAUCCAGGUGUAGGAGUGAAAUCCGUAGAUAUCUGGAGGAACAUCAGUGGCGAAGGCGACUAUCUGGCACAUAACUGACGCUGAGGAGCGAAAGCGUGGGUAGCAAACAGGAUUAGAUACCCCUGUAGUC